Molecule: long non-coding RNA, 219 nt
Filed under: Ananas comosus (pineapple)
Lineage: Eukaryota; Viridiplantae; Streptophyta; Magnoliopsida; Poales; Bromeliaceae
Description: long non-coding RNA (ACOM_LNC042653)
Source: RNAcentral
GCCUAUAAGUCUUGGUUUGAGGGUGGUCGCUCACCCUCGAGCGAUGAGCUCCGGAGUUGUCAUCACUGGGUUGGUGUUUUUCCCAGAAGACGGUCCCAUCGGGAGGAAGCUGAGGGCCCGAUAUUAGGGAUUUGAGUUGGUGAGUUAUGGAAUCCGGCGGGAGGAAGCUGAGGGCCCGAUGGGUUAGCCAUGAGAUUGAGUAAUGGAAAAGUAAUAUUG